GUAGGGAAUAUUGGGCAAUGGUCGGAAGACUGACCCAGCCAUGCCGCGUGCAGGAAGACGGCCCUCUGGGUUGUAAACUGCUUUUAUCUGGGAAGAAAAAGGCCAUGCGUGGCAAAUUGCCGGUACCAGAUGAAUAAGCACCGGCUAACUCCGUGCCAGCAGCCGCGGUAAUACGGAGGGUGCGAGCGUUGUCCGGAUUUAUUGGGUUUAAAGGGUGCGUAGGCGGCUGAUUAAGUCAGCGGUGAAAGACUUCGGCUUAACCGGAGCAGUGCCGGUGAUACUGGUUGGCUUGAGUGUCUGAGGGGUACAUGGAAUUGAUGGUGUAGCGGUGAAAUGCAUAGAUACCAUCAGGAACACCGAUAGCGAAGGCAUUGUACUGGCCGACAACUGACGCUGAUGCACGAAAGUGUGGGGAUCGAACAGGAUUAGAAACCCCGGUAGUCC
This 444-nucleotide ribosomal RNA is filed under the name uncultured bacterium. Its description in RNAcentral is "partial 16S ribosomal RNA". It matches the Rfam family "Bacterial small subunit ribosomal RNA", at positions 354 to 796 of the family's 1533-position model. The record is from RNAcentral.